CUGCACCCUUUUCUCUUCAGCUGGAGAGGAAGAAGAGGGAGACAAAAGACUUCCUGCAUCAGAGUGAGGUCUACCUGCAGAGCCCACAGGAGAUCCUGAGGCAGGAUGUUGUCAGGUUCAUCAGGCUCGUCAGACAGGACGUGGAUGAGUGCAGGAUGACGGAGUACAUCAAACACCCUUGAAGGCCCAAGAAAAGAUGCCAGCACCCUCAUCUCCUCCUUGGUGACUCAGACCAUCCUCAUGCUUGAAGAAAGAAGGAUGAGUUCGAGGCUUAGCCUACAGUGUCUACGCUCACUGCUGCUGAGGGCAUGGAGGAGGCUGUGCUCGGCCCCCAGCAGAGACUUGUGAAAACCUUGUGAAGUUCAAGAAAGCAAAGUGCAAGGUUUUACACCUGCGUCACGGCAAUUCCAGGCACAGCCACAGGUUGGCUGGAGCACCCCCCAUACAAAGACAGGCUGAGACAUUCGGAGGUGGAGAAGAGAAGGCUGAGUGGAGGCCUCAUAGCAGCCUUCUCAUGUCUGAGGGGGCCUACAAGGGCAUCCAAGUCCCUGACUUUUCAUCAGG
Long non-coding RNA from Pezoporus occidentalis (night parrot), 564 nucleotides. RefSeq lists it as uncharacterized. NCBI's taxonomy places the organism in Eukaryota, Metazoa, Chordata, Aves, Psittaciformes, Psittacidae. The transcript has 3 exons. The record is from RefSeq and is a predicted model, not a curated record.